UCUAAACGUGUCACUACAACUCAUGAUACACCAUCUGAAAAUAUGCCACAGCUUGUAGCAACAAUCUGCCACAUCUCUAAAUACUACUUUGGACCAGACAUGCCUCAUGCCACAUUUCUUGAGAAGAACACCUACAAAUGCCAUCUGUAUGGGAAUUUCGGAGGCUAUAGUGAUGCAGGAGCUCUGAUGAUGACCUUGCACUUUCCUCUUGGUGUCAAGAUAUUAUUCUGCCUCAUGUUAAGAAAACAGCUUGGUCCAACCAAUUACUCUCAAAUUAAAGACUUUUUUUUCUACUGAUAGCAUAACUAAUUUGCCAUAUCAUACUCCUAUCAGUGUCAACAACCUGAUGAGAUGUCUAUAAAAGAUAAACAUCAUCUUUUCCCUUUUGUUUCAGAAAAUGUCAAUUCAAGGAAAUAAAUUCAACAGUUUUCUCCUUC
This is a long non-coding RNA of Limulus polyphemus (Atlantic horseshoe crab), 437 nucleotides long. RefSeq lists it as uncharacterized. The transcript has 2 exons. NCBI's taxonomy places the organism in Eukaryota, Metazoa, Arthropoda, Merostomata, Xiphosura, Limulidae. The record is from RefSeq and is a predicted model, not a curated record.